CCUCCACCAUGCUGCAAAUGAAAAUGCUCUCAAAUCUUCACCCCUAUCCUUUGUGCAACCUCCUUAAAGGAGUGGACAUCGCUUCCCCAUAGCCAAGCAUCACAGCCCGCAUCUCUUGCACCCCAUAUAUCAUUCCUACGAUCAUCACCUACAUGCACAGCAUCCUCAGGUUUUACUCCCAGUAACUCACAGGCCUUUAGAAAUAUUGUUGGAUUUGGCUUCUCAGCAGCAACUUCAGCUGAAACUGCCACAGCAUCAAACCAAUGAUCACAAUUUAAGGCCCGCAGAAGAGGUCUAAGUCGAGUGUCAAAAUUAGACACAACAGCCAACUUUACACCUGCCUUUCUAAUAGCCUUGAAUACUUUCUCAGCAUCAGGAUCACAAAGGUGCCAAGCCUUUUCAGUAGUAUAGUAGUUAUAAAGUUCUUCAAAGUACUGAGAAUCUGAGCAGCCAGUAGAAGAACUGACUAUGAAUUGCCAGAAAGGUCUUCCAUCAUUUACAUAUCUGAGCCGAGAUCUACCCCAAGGUUGCUCAUAAGCCCUUCUAUAUCUGUUCAGUAUCUCAUCCUCUGAGUAUUCCACUCCAUACUUCUGCCCUAUCUUUCUAUAUAUCUGGGCCAUGGGCUGCGAAGGAACAACAAGAGUACCAACGGCAUCAACAAGCAAAGCCUUAUGAGUAAUUUCACCAUACAAAGACCUUCUAUAAUCCUCAUAAUCUUUCACUCCUAAUAUCUCCAACCCAACUCCUCUGGACCCAACCACAUCCACAUCCGCCUCAGUUGCCACCGCAGCCGCAGCAGCAGAAGACGAAUACCGGGCCAGUCCAGCAGAGCAUGCUGCGGAUCUUGUGGAAUUCAGGAUUCUGUUACUGUUAUUGUUAACAAAAACAGAAAGAAACCUUAUUAGUUUUGUUCUUGCUGCCAUUAUUGUCAUUUUGGUUUCUACAUUUGGCGAAUCCUCUGCGACUCUUGGAUGUAGUUCUUGUUCUUCUGUGAUGAAAGUGGCAAAGAGACCGC
This 1015-nucleotide unclassified non-coding RNA is filed under the name Hevea brasiliensis (rubber tree). The record is from RNAcentral. Lineage: Eukaryota; Viridiplantae; Streptophyta; Magnoliopsida; Malpighiales; Euphorbiaceae.